This 1589-nucleotide unclassified non-coding RNA is filed under the name Hevea brasiliensis (rubber tree). Lineage: Eukaryota; Viridiplantae; Streptophyta; Magnoliopsida; Malpighiales; Euphorbiaceae. The record is from RNAcentral.
UUUUAAUAGAGAAUGGUGCAAGUUCACCUUCUUUAGGUGCUAAUGAUGAGUGGUUAAAUUCCAUUAUGAGCCAAGGGGGAGAAAAUGGAAACAGCAAAGUGCAGCAGCCCAAGUUUCAGCGAGUUCCACAGAUGCUUCGUGGGAUCAAACCCAACUCUGAUUGCUACGAUCCUAUGGUGGUAUCCAUUGGUCCCUAUCACCAUGGCAAACCAGAGCUCCAGGAGAUGGAGAGGCUCAAGAUUACAAUGGCCCGCCAUUUUUUUGAACGCAGUAAAGAACCCGUUAAAGCGUUGUACAACAAGGUGGCUCAAGUGGCCACUGAUGCAAAGAUAUGCUACUGUGAGAGCUCAAUUGAAGGAUUGAACGAUGAGGCAUUCACCCAAAUGAUGUUUCUUGAUGGCAGCUUCGUUCUCCAAUUCAUCUUCUGUCCUGAAGAUAGAAUUAAAGAGAUGAAACCUCAUGUUGAAGCUUUUGUGAUGCGGGACUUGUUCUUAUUGGAGAACCAACUUCCUUUUUCAGUGCUUAACUCAUUGAUGAGCUCGAGUUUCGAAGAAGGGAUGAAAAGCAUCCACGAUUUCAUAGAGGAAAUUCGCUGUUUUCCCACCAAACAAGCUUCGAUCAAGGAAAAUAUAAUGAAGAAUGUUAGCAAACUCUGGCCCCAAGCACAAAAAAUGGAGCCAGAGGAAGAAAAUAAUCAGGAUCCUCAGCCUCUCCACCUUCUUGAGCUUUUUUAUACUCAAUUCAGUAAAAAAAGCAGCUCCGCUUUCCCUCGCAGGAAAAACAAAAACAGAAGAGUAGACAACUGGUUCUCAUAUCGCUCCGCCAACGAACUUAAGAGCGUGGGAAUCCACUUCGAGCCAAGCAAGACUGCUAGUUUCAUGGAUGUCAAGUUCAUAUCAACAUCCCUCUAUGGAGUCCUUAGACUUCCUCCAAUUCACAUAGGUGACUUGACCAAGUCCUUGCUCUUAAACUUGGUUGCCUACGAGAUGAGCACCGACACAUCCAUUGUUGCAAAGAUCACUUCAUAUAUAUGUUUCAUGGAUUCACUGGUCGACCAGCCCGAAGAUGUGAAGGAGCUGCGAUCAAAUGGCAUACUUGUGAAUUUUCUUGGAUGCGACCAAGAGGUGGCAGAUCUCUUCAACGAGAUAUCCAAGCAUCUGGUGCUCCACCGAGAUGCUUUUGAGGAUGUUAAGGACCAAAUACAAUCGCAUUACAAGAACAUUGGAAAAAGAUGGAUAGCCGAAUGGCUGCAUACUCAUUUCUCUAGCCCUUGGGCGCUUUUGGCCUUUCUCGGUGCAAGUCUUGCUCUUGUUCUUACCGCCAUUCAGACCUACCUAUCAGUGUUCCCAACCAAAGGAUGAAUACUGUUUAGCAAGAACCCUGCCCCCUUCAGAAAAAUUUGUUGGAGUUGACGAGUUUUUGGUGAAUAUGAGGUGAGAAAAUAUUUUUGAUGUAGUAUUUUUAGUUGAAAAGUAAUGGAUCUCCAUAGUUUGAGCAAGAUUUGUAGGAAUUUAUGCAUGUUGAAUUGGAGAAGGCUUCCCUUUGCCAGGGAGAGUCGGUGUGUGUGGAGAGUUGAGAGAGAAUGAAGG